RNAcentral lists this ribosomal RNA (465 nucleotides) under Vreelandella stevensii. RNAcentral's name for it is "partial 16S ribosomal RNA". It matches the Rfam family "Bacterial small subunit ribosomal RNA", at positions 338 to 795 of the family's 1533-position model. The record is from RNAcentral. Lineage: Bacteria; Pseudomonadati; Pseudomonadota; Gammaproteobacteria; Oceanospirillales; Halomonadaceae.
CCUACGGGUGGCUGCAGUGGGGAAUAUUGGACAAUGGGGGGAACCCUGAUCCAGCCAUGCCGCGUGUGUGAAGAAGGCCCUCGUGUGGUAAAGCACUUUCAGUGAGGAAGAACGCCUGGUGGUUAAUACCCAUCAGGAAAGACAUCACUCACAGAAGAAGCACCGGCUAACUCCGUGCCAGCAGCCGCGGUAAUACGGAGGGUGCGAGCGUUAAUCGGAAUUACUGGGCGUAAAGCGCGCGUAGGUGGCUUGAUAAGCCGGUUGUGAAAGCCCCGGGCUCAACCUGGGAACGGCAUCCGGAACUGUCAAGCUAGAGUGCAGGAGAGGAAGGUAGAAUUCCCGGUGUAGCGGUGAAAUGCGUAGAGAUCGGGAGGAAUACCAGUGGCGAAGGCGGCCUUCUGGACUGACACUGACACUGAGGUGCGAAAGCGUGGGUAGCAAACAGGAUUAGAUACCCCAGUAGUC